Molecule: RNase P RNA, 329 nt
Filed under: bovine gut metagenome
Description: Bacterial RNase P class A
Rfam family: Bacterial RNase P class A
About the family: Ribonuclease P (RNase P) is a ubiquitous endoribonuclease, found in archaea, bacteria and eukarya as well as chloroplasts and mitochondria. Its best characterised activity is the generation of mature 5'-ends of tRNAs by cleaving the 5'-leader elements of precursor-tRNAs.
Source: RNAcentral
GACGGUCAGAUAACCGCUCCUGUUUAUAAAAACAGGGGAGGAACUUCCGGACUCCACAGGGUAAUGCGCCGCUUGAAAAGGCGGGCGGGUAAGUGUCAAAACUUAUCCGAUGGAAAGUGCCGCAGAAAAUAUACCGCCCGUAAGGGUAAGGGUGAAAAGGUGCGGUAAGAGCGCACCGCACGGUUGGCAACAAACGUGGCAAGGUAAACCCCGCAAGGAGCAAGGCCAAGCCGGUUCAUACGUGACCCGCGUUCGUAACCAAGUAGGCCGCCUAGAGUAAUGGUUAUCCGGCCCGCAAGGGCUGACAGAAUCUGGGGUAUAGACCGUCC